RNAcentral lists this long non-coding RNA (1095 nucleotides) under Equus caballus (horse). RNAcentral describes it as "lncRNA (ENSECAG00000046378.1)". Lineage: Eukaryota; Metazoa; Chordata; Mammalia; Perissodactyla; Equidae. The record is from RNAcentral.
CUGGAUUGCUGAAGCGCCUGGGCCAACAGUUGGGUCUGCAAUGGGUUGGUACCCCCCUGACCAGGCCACCUGGAAGCUGUCGGUCAGUUGAACAACAAACACUUAAUGACUGACCCUACUGCUGACUCUGCGUUGGCAGCCUCCGCCCCUUUCUCCAUUUCUAGCUGAUGCUAUUUGAGGCCUAUGAGGGAUGAGAGCUUGGUGCGCAUUUGCCUGUGAAGCCUGGCACCUGAACUCAGCACUCUGCAACCCACAAUUACAACUGCUUUAAAGACAACCACCUCCUUCUGGCCCCCACCAUCAUGGCGCAGCAGAAAAGCAUGAUGCGCUGGGAGUAAGAUAUAGACACGGUGCGGUGGACGUGGAGGUGUGCUGCCCAGAUGUCCCUCCCGGGAAGGACUGGUGGUCCCAGUUCUGGGAGUGCUGUCAGCAGGUGCUUGUCAACUGUCAGCCCUUCGAGGCCUCCGUCAGCUGCAGAGGGCCGUCUCCCCCGGGGGGGCCGUGUCCGCAUCCAAUGACCGAUUGAGGCAAGUGUAUAAAAGCCCAGCUAUUCGGCCCAGUGCCGGACAACUCAGACGGGCUUCCCAGUCCUGCCUCCUGUCCCUUCCUUCCACAGGUGCUAAUCCUAAGGGCAUUCCCUAAUAAACACCCAAAGCCUUAAUUCCCUUUCGGAGGCUGCUUUCUGGAGAGCGCAACCUGCCACAAAUGAGUAUGAAUUUCAGAUCAACUACUUAGGAACGCUGUGACUUUGGGGAAACCAUGACCUAUUUCCUGUAAGACUCAAUUUCCUUAUCUGCAAAAUGGGAAUAAUGGUAACUUCUUCAUAGGAUCAUGCCAAGAGAAGAACGCCUUUCUGGGAAGAGACAGGCAGGGGCAGCAAUCGUGACUUCCGUGAGUCCCAGAAAAAAGCCACGCUCCGCCACUGCUUGAAGCUGUGUCAUAACCAGGGACUGGAACAGAAUUAGCUAGAGCCGGAAGACAGAGCCAAUGAGAGAUCUCCCAGAUACAGUGUUUGAGUAAUUACAGCUGGAAACUGAAUGCUUACUACUGCUAAUGAAUCAUCCUUGAACAAAGGAGGUAAUUGGUCCAAUAUGG